This 498-nucleotide ribosomal RNA is filed under the name uncultured bacterium. RNAcentral describes it as "partial 16S ribosomal RNA". It matches the Rfam family "Bacterial small subunit ribosomal RNA", at positions 28 to 507 of the family's 1533-position model. The record is from RNAcentral.
GACGAACGCUGGCGGCGUGCCUAAUACAUGCAAGUCGAACGAGAGCGCCCGGUGCUUGCCCUGGUCAAUCUAGUGGCGAACGGGUGAGUAACACGUGGGUAACCUGCCCAUCAGAGGGGGAUAACAUCCGGAAACGGAUGCUAAAACCGCAUAGGUCUUCGAACCGCAUGGUUUGAAGAGGAAAAGAGGCGCAAGCUUCUGCUGAUGGAUGGACCCGCGGUGCAUUAGCUAGUUGGUGAGGUAACGGCUCACCAAGGCCGUGAUGCAUAGCCGACCUGAGAGGGUGAUCGGCCACAUUGGGACUGAGACACGGCCCAAACUCCUACGGGAGGCAGCAGUAGGGAAUCUUCCGCAAUGGACGCAAGUCUGACGGAGCAACGCCGCGUGAGUGAAGAAGGUUUUCGGAUCGUAAAACUCAGUUGUUAGAGAAGAACAAGUGCUAGAGUAACUGUUAGCGCCUUGACGGUAUCUAACCAGAAAGCCACGGCUAACUACGUG